GCCUCUAGAGCUGGUAUGGGGAUGCCUGCUGUUUGUGGCAGCUGUGAGCCAGCUGCUGAGGGGCUGGCCUUUGUUUCUGUGAUGUAAGGACACAUCAUCUGUCCCAACUGUUUAUUGCUCACAAAACACACUGUCUCCCUGGGAUCUGUCCCAGCUGGGAUCCAAAGCUGAGCGGAACGGAUUUUACACCUUUUGUUGCAUUUCCUUAAAUGUAAACUAGUAAAACCAAGGACAGAACCAUGAUGAGUUGGACAGUGCUCCCCUAUUUUUACCAUCCACUUUCAUGACUUAUGCGGUUUCCAGGGUUGUGAAGGUCCCUUCCUGUACAGGCACUCCUCUAUCCAGAAGCCCUCUCCUACUCCCCCAGAAGCUGGCCCAUGGGAAACUUUUAUUUUAACCUCACUAUCCAUUCUGUGGACUCCUCAGCAGCUGAAGCAUACCACGCAACAGCACACAUUUCAGUGAGUGGACAGAGCAAUGGCAAACUCCAAGAUAAAUCAGAAAGUCAGCAAUGGCUUGUGGAGUGCAAUUACAAAGGAAAAAAGACUGCCGAUUACCACUGAAAUGGAGUGAAGUUUCUGGAAAGGAUUGCUGGGCUCCUGGUCUGUGUCAGCAUGGUCGGUAAAACAUCGCACGGAGCUCAACACACCCACUGUCGGAACUAAUUGGCAUUUAAUAAGAAGACCCCCUGAGAGAAGCUUGCUGAUGUGGGCAUUUCUGCAACAUAUCUGUGCAGGGGUGGGGCCCUUUUGCAAAAAUUCUUUAGGAGGGAGGGAAGCAUCAAAUGAGUCAGAUCUGUAUUCAUGGGGCUACCCCCUGGGACAUAACUUGACUCAUCCACAAAUACUGACAUUCCUUUGGAAGAAGUGGACUGCAAAUACUUUCCUGGAGGGAAAGCCAUAACCGCAUUGACCUAACAAUUGCUUUAGCAAGCAUGUAGCCACAAAUAUUAAUCAUCCAUAGAUGCUCCUCUUUAAUAUGUAAUCUGUAAAUGUCCACUGAUAAGGAACUGGUUGAAUAUGUUAUAGUGCAUGCAUACAUGGGAAAAUAAGGCAAUUCUGUGUGGAAAAAAAAAACUUAGGAAAUAUUAACAACUCAAAAAAAUAACUAUGUAUGUAUGUAUAUAUAACAUGAUCCUAUGUGCACAAAAUGCCUUUCUUUUUUUUUGUUGUUGUUGUUGUUUUUCUUUUGAAACAGGGCAGCACUAGCUGGCCUGGAACUCUCCUAUGUAGACUAGAAUGGCUUCAAAUUUAUAGAGAUCUCUCUGCCUCUACCUCCCAAGUGCUGGGAUUAAAAGUGUAUGUCACAUACCCACCUUGUUUUUUCUUUUUUAAAGAAAAAUAGGGAGCCUGGAGAGAAGGCUCAGUGG
RNAcentral lists this long non-coding RNA (1369 nucleotides) under Cricetulus griseus (Chinese hamster). Its description in RNAcentral is "lncRNA (ENSCGRG00015031648.1)". The record is from RNAcentral. Lineage: Eukaryota; Metazoa; Chordata; Mammalia; Rodentia; Cricetidae.